UGGGGAAUCUUGCGCAAUGGGCGAAAGUCUGACGCAGCCAUGCCGCGUGGAUGAUGAAGGUCUUAGGAUUGUAAAAUCCUUUCACCGGUGAAGAUAAUGACUGUAGCCGGAGAAGAAGCCCCGGCUAACUUCGUGCCAGCAGCCGCGGUAAUACGAAGGGGGCUAGCGUUGCUCGGAAUUACUGGGCGUAAAGGGAGCGUAGGCGGACAUUUAAGUCAGGGGUGAAAUCCCGAGGCUCAACCUCGGAACUGCCUUUGAUACUGGGUGUCUUGAGUGUGAGAGAGGUAUGUGGAACUCCGAGUGUAGAGGUGGAAUUCGUAGAUAUUCGGAAGAACACCAGUGGCGAAGGCGACAUACUGGCUCAUUACUGACGCUGAGGCUCGAAAGCGUGGGGAGCAAACAGGAUUAGAUACCCUGGUAGUCCACGCCGUAAAGCGAUGAUUGGCUAGUUGUCGGGGAAANCUUGCUUUUCGGUGACGCAGCUAACGCAUUAAGCAAUCCGCCUGGGGAGUACGGUCGCAAGAUUAAAACUCAAAGGAAUUGACGGGGGUCAUAGCUGUUUCCUG
This 566-nucleotide ribosomal RNA is filed under the name uncultured bacterium. RNAcentral's name for it is "partial 16S ribosomal RNA". It matches the Rfam family "Bacterial small subunit ribosomal RNA", at positions 355 to 941 of the family's 1533-position model. The record is from RNAcentral.